This 2903-nucleotide ribosomal RNA is filed under the name Escherichia coli. RNAcentral's name for it is "23S ribosomal RNA". It matches the Rfam family "Bacterial large subunit ribosomal RNA". The record is from RNAcentral. Lineage: Bacteria; Pseudomonadati; Pseudomonadota; Gammaproteobacteria; Enterobacterales; Enterobacteriaceae.
GGUUAAGCGACUAAGCGUACACGGUGGAUGCCCUGGCAGUCAGAGGCGAUGAAGGACGUGCUAAUCUGCGAUAAGCGUCGGUAAGGUGAUAUGAACCGUUAUAACCGGCGAUUUCCGAAUGGGGAAACCCAGUGUGAUUCGUCACACUAUCAUUAACUGAAUCCAUAGGUUAAUGAGGCGAACCGGGGGAACUGAAACAUCUAAGUACCCCGAGGAAAAGAAAUCAACCGAGAUUCCCCCAGUAGCGGCGAGCGAACGGGGAGCAGCCCAGAGCCUGAAUCAGUGUGUGUGUUAGUGGAAGCGUCUGGAAAGGCGCGCGAUACAGGGUGACAGCCCCGUACACAAAAAUGCACAUGCUGUGAGCUCGAUGAGUAGGGCGGGACACGUGGUAUCCUGUCUGAAUAUGGGGGGACCAUCCUCCAAGGCUAAAUACUCCUGACUGACCGAUAGUGAACCAGUACCGUGAGGGAAAGGCGAAAAGAACCCCGGCGAGGGGAGUGAAAAAGAACCUGAAACCGUGUACGUACAAGCAGUGGGAGCACGCUUAGGCGUGUGACUGCGUACCUUUUGUAUAAUGGGUCAGCGACUUAUAUUCUGUAGCAAGGUUAACCGAAUAGGGGAGCCGAAGGGAAACCGAGUCUUAACUGGGCGUUAAGUUGCAGGGUAUAGACCCGAAACCCGGUGAUCUAGCCAUGGGCAGGUUGAAGGUUGGGUAACACUAACUGGAGGACCGAACCGACUAAUGUUGAAAAAUUAGCGGAUGACUUGUGGCUGGGGGUGAAAGGCCAAUCAAACCGGGAGAUAGCUGGUUCUCCCCGAAAGCUAUUUAGGUAGCGCCUCGUGAAUUCAUCUCCGGGGGUAGAGCACUGUUUCGGCAAGGGGGUCAUCCCGACUUACCAACCCGAUGCAAACUGCGAAUACCGGAGAAUGUUAUCACGGGAGACACACGGCGGGUGCUAACGUCCGUCGUGAAGAGGGAAACAACCCAGACCGCCAGCUAAGGUCCCAAAGUCAUGGUUAAGUGGGAAACGAUGUGGGAAGGCCCAGACAGCCAGGAUGUUGGCUUAGAAGCAGCCAUCAUUUAAAGAAAGCGUAAUAGCUCACUGGUCGAGUCGGCCUGCGCGGAAGAUGUAACGGGGCUAAACCAUGCACCGAAGCUGCGGCAGCGACACUAUGUGUUGUUGGGUAGGGGAGCGUUCUGUAAGCCUGUGAAGGUGUGCUGUGAGGCAUGCUGGAGGUAUCAGAAGUGCGAAUGCUGACAUAAGUAACGAUAAAGCGGGUGAAAAGCCCGCUCGCCGGAAGACCAAGGGUUCCUGUCCAACGUUAAUCGGGGCAGGGUGAGUCGACCCCUAAGGCGAGGCCGAAAGGCGUAGUCGAUGGGAAACAGGUUAAUAUUCCUGUACUUGGUGUUACUGCGAAGGGGGGACGGAGAAGGCUAUGUUGGCCGGGCGACGGUUGUCCCGGUUUAAGCGUGUAGGCUGGUUUUCCAGGCAAAUCCGGAAAAUCAAGGCUGAGGCGUGAUGACGAGGCACUACGGUGCUGAAGCAACAAAUGCCCUGCUUCCAGGAAAAGCCUCUAAGCAUCAGGUAACAUCAAAUCGUACCCCAAACCGACACAGGUGGUCAGGUAGAGAAUACCAAGGCGCUUGAGAGAACUCGGGUGAAGGAACUAGGCAAAAUGGUGCCGUAACUUCGGGAGAAGGCACGCUGAUAUGUAGGUGAAGUCCCUCGCGGAUGGAGCUGAAAUCAGUCGAAGAUACCAGCUGGCUGCAACUGUUUAUUAAAAACACAGCACUGUGCAAACACGAAAGUGGACGUAUACGGUGUGACGCCUGCCCGGUGCCGGAAGGUUAAUUGAUGGGGUCAGCGCAAGCGAAGCUCUUGAUCGAAGCCCCGGUAAACGGCGGCCGUAACUAUAACGGUCCUAAGGUAGCGAAAUUCCUUGUCGGGUAAGUUCCGACCUGCACGAAUGGCGUAAUGAUGGCCAGGCUGUCUCCACCCGAGACUCAGUGAAAUUGAACUCGCUGUGAAGAUGCAGUGUACCCGCGGCAAGACGGAAAGACCCCGUGAACCUUUACUAUAGCUUGACACUGAACAUUGAGCCUUGAUGUGUAGGAUAGGUGGGAGGCUUUGAAGUGUGGACGCCAGUCUGCAUGGAGCCGACCUUGAAAUACCACCCUUUAAUGUUUGAUGUUCUAACGUUGACCCGUGAUCCGGGUUGCGGACAGUGUCUGGUGGGUAGUUUGACUGGGGCGGUCUCCUCCUAAAGAGUAACGGAGGAGCACGAAGGUUGGCUAAUCCUGGUCGGACAUCAGGAGGUUAGUGCAAUGGCAUAAGCCAGCUUGACUGCGAGCGUGACGGCGCGAGCAGGUGCGAAAGCAGGUCAUAGUGAUCCGGUGGUUCUGAAUGGAAGGGCCAUCGCUCAACGGAUAAAAGGUACUCCGGGGAUAACAGGCUGAUACCGCCCAAGAGUUCAUAUCGACGGCGGUGUUUGGCACCUCGAUGUCGGCUCAUCACAUCCUGGGGCUGAAGUAGGUCCCAAGGGUAUGGCUGUUCGCCAUUUAAAGUGGUACGCGAGCUGGGUUUAGAACGUCGUGAGACAGUUCGGUCCCUAUCUGCCGUGGGCGCUGGAGAACUGAGGGGGGCUGCUCCUAGUACGAGAGGACCGGAGUGGACGCAUCACUGGUGUUCGGGUUGUCAUGCCAAUGGCACUGCCCGGUAGCUAAAUGCGGAAGAGAUAAGUGCUGAAAGCAUCUAAGCACGAAACUUGCCCCGAGAUGAGUUCUCCCUGACUCCUUGAGAGUCCUGAAGGAACGUUGAAGACGACGACGUUGAUAGGCCGGGUGUGUAAGCGCAGCGAUGCGUUGAGCUAACCGGUACUAAUGAACCGUGAGGCUUAACCUU